This 238-nucleotide long non-coding RNA is filed under the name Nicotiana tabacum (common tobacco). Its description in RNAcentral is "long non-coding RNA (NTAB_LNC006181)". Lineage: Eukaryota; Viridiplantae; Streptophyta; Magnoliopsida; Solanales; Solanaceae. The record is from RNAcentral.
AUGCACUACAAACCUGCAUGCAUUGAACUCUUCCACCAUUGCUAGCAAUGGAGGUAAUGUCAAGGUUUUGUUUCCUGGUAACAGGGAAGGAGGAGGCGGACUUGAGGCCAGUGAAGGGUGCAACCAUGCUGGCUUGAGCAGCAUUAGCGCCGGUCGCAACAGCAGCUGCUGAGGACAUAACUGAGGAAGCCAUUUCUGAAAUAAUUUCUAAGCUUAAAGCUAUUGCUACCCUUGACCU